This 492-nucleotide ribosomal RNA is filed under the name uncultured bacterium. RNAcentral describes it as "partial 16S ribosomal RNA". It matches the Rfam family "Bacterial small subunit ribosomal RNA", at positions 29 to 507 of the family's 1533-position model. The record is from RNAcentral.
AGUGAACGCUGGCGGUAGGCCUAACACAUGCCAGUCGAACGGCAGCACAGUAAGAGCUUGCUCUUACGGGUGGCGAGUGGCGGACGGGUGAGGAAUACAUCGGAAUCUACUUUUUCGUGGGGGAUAACGUAGGGAAACUUACGCUAAUACCGCAUACGACCUACGGGUGAAAGCAGGGGAUCUUCGGACCUUGCGCGAUUGAAUGAGCCGAUGUCGGAUUAGCUAGUUGGCGGGGUAAAGGCCCACCAAGGCGACGAUCCGUAGCUGGUCUGGGAGGAUGAUCAGCCACACGGGAAGUGAGACACGGUCCAGACUCCUACGGGAGGCAACGGUGGGGAAUAUUGGACAAUGGGCGCAAGCCUGAUCCAGCCAUACCGCGUGGGUGAAGAAGGCCUUCGGGUUGUAAAGCCCUUUUGUUGGGAAAGAAAAGCAGCAGGUUAAUACCCCGCUGUUCUGACGGUACCCAAAGAAUAAGCACCGGCUAACUUCGUG